Molecule: ribosomal RNA, 431 nt
Filed under: Pseudomonadota bacterium
Lineage: Bacteria; Pseudomonadati; Pseudomonadota
Description: Proteobacteria bacterium partial 16S ribosomal RNA
Rfam family: Bacterial small subunit ribosomal RNA
Source: RNAcentral
UGGGGAAUAUUGGACAAUGGGGGGAACCCUGAUCCAGCCAUGCCGCGUGUGUGAAGAAGGCCUUAUGGUUGUAAAGCACUUUAAGCGAGGAGGAGGGUACUGGUAUUAAUACUACCAGCUACUGGACGUUACUCGCAGAAUAAGCACCGGCUAACUCUGUGCCAGCAGCCGCGGUAAUACAGAGGGUGCGAGCGUUAAUCGGAUUUACUGGGCGUAAAGCGUGCGUAGGCGGCUAAUUGAGUCGGAUGUGAAAUCCCCGAGCUUAACUUGGGAAUUGCAUUCGAUACUGGUUAGCUAGAGUGUGGGAGAGGAUGGUAGAAUUCCAGGUGUAGCGGUGAAAUGCGUAGAGAUCUGGAGGAAUACCGAUGGCGAAGGCAGCCAUCUGGCCUAACACUGACGCUGAGGUACGAAAGCAUGGGGAGCAAACAGGA